GACGAACGCUGGCGGCGUGCUUAACACAUGCAAGUCGAACGGAAAGGCCCUGCUUUUGUGGGAUGCUCGAGUGCCGAACGGGUGUGUAUCACGUGUGUAACCUGCCCUUGUCUUUGGGAUAACUUCAUGAAACUCGGGCGAAUACCCGAUAUGAGCUCCUGCUGCAUGGUGGGUAUUGUAAAUUGUCGGCGGUUGGGGAUUGACUCGCGGCUUAUCAGCUUGUUGGUUGGGUAGUGGCUUACCAAGGCUUUGACGGGUAGCCGGCAUGAGAGGGUGACCGGGCACAAUGGGAUUGAGAUAGGGACAAGAGUGCAACGGGAGGCAGCAGUGGGGAAUAUUGCACAAAGGGCGGAAGCAGGAUGCAGAAACGUCGGGUGGGGGAUGACGGUCUUUGGGGUGUAAACCGCUUUAGAGUGUGACGAAGCGUGAGUGACGGUAAUGGGUAAAGAAGCAACGGCUAACUACGUG
RNAcentral lists this ribosomal RNA (468 nucleotides) under uncultured bacterium. RNAcentral's name for it is "partial 16S ribosomal RNA". It matches the Rfam family "Bacterial small subunit ribosomal RNA", at positions 28 to 507 of the family's 1533-position model. The record is from RNAcentral.